AUGGAUCUGCUGCUACCGCCGAUUAGUGCUUCUCUUGGUGCCAUGGGCUCCCUUGCACACAAGCUGGAUGCGCUCCUCGAUACAGAACACAAGGAUGAGAUGGGGAAACUCGGAACCCGGCUGCUGGAGCUCUCCAAGGCACGAGACCCUCCCGUUACAGCGAGGAUCUGGAUGAAGGAUGUGCGCGAACUAUCCUAUGAUAUGGAGAACUUUGUCGACACUGAAGAAGAUUGGAUCCACAACAUGUCACCGUUCAUGGGCUGUGUGAAGGAAGCAAAUGCACGGUACGAGAGGUACAGGCUUGAGAGCGUCCCCAGCCACACAUAUGUCUUUCCAAUCAUCCACCACCGUGGCCGGAAGACAGGUCUAGUCGUCGGCCUUCAUGACAAGGGUGGCCCGGUUGAUAGGCUCUGCCAAUUGCUGACCGAUGGAGAUGAGCAGCUCAAGGUGUUAUCCAUUGUCGGUGUUGGAGGGAUCGGGAAGACCACGCUUGCCAAACAGCUAUGGCGUGAGCACAAACUCAGGGACUACUUCCACUGCCGGGCUUUUGUGCGGACGGCCAAGAAACCAGACAUGAGGAGGAUCCUAAGGAGCAUACUCGCACAAGUUCGUCCGCACCAACCACCUGAUGCUAGCGAGGUGGACGACCUCAUUCACGAUCUCACCGAGCAUCUACAGGAUAAAAGGUAUAUUAUUAUAAUUGAUGACAUAUGGGAUACAUCAGUAUGGGAUGUUGCUACAUGUGCUUUCCCAGAGGGUAAUCAUGGAAGCAGGAUAAUAACAACAACAGAAAUUGAGGAUGUUGCCCUAGCAUGCUGUAGUUACCAGUCCAAGUACAUAUUUAAGAUGGAGCCACUCAGUGUCAGUCAAUCAAAACAAUUGUUCACCAAUGCAGUGUUUGGCUCUGGAAAAGAGAAAUCUCCUCAAUUAGAUGAAGUGUCAGAUGAGAUUAUAAGAAUAUGUGAUGGUUUACCACAGGCAAUUAUCAGCAUAUCCAGUGUUCUAGUAAGCCAUAGGGAAGCAAAUGCAGUAGAGAACUGGGAGCACGUACAGAACAAUUUGCCAACAAGUACAACUUCCGACGAGAUACUGAACUUUUGCUACAAUAGUCUUCCCAGUUGUGUUCAGACAUGUCUGUUGUAUCUUGGCAUAUACCCGGAGAACUAUAUAAUCUUGAAGGAAGAUAUAAUGAAGCAAUGGGUAGCUGAAUGUUUUAUCCGUGCACCAACAGAGAAAGAAAAAAUGGAAGUGGCCGGGAGCUAUUUUGAUAUGCUUGUAAAUAUGGGCAUGAUCCAACAUAUAGACGUAGACUAUAGCAAUGCGGUAUUGUACUAUGCAGUGAAUCACAUGUUUGGCGGCGCACCAUUUGCAACUACACCAGCAAGUACUGGACUAUCACAAAUUCGGUCGCUUACUUUUAUUGGACUGAUGAGCUGCUUUCCUUCAGUUGUGGAGUUUAAGCUUCUUCGAUUUCUGAACCUUCAUAUUUGGAGUGAUCAACCGAGCACAUACUUCGACCUCAGGGUUAUCUGUGAAUUUGUUCUGUUGAGAUAUUUGCAGGUCACCUGCAGCGACACCGUAUAUCUUCCAGAUCAGAUGCAAGGUCUGAAACACUUGGAAACACUUGAAAUAAAUGCAAGAGUAAUAGUUAUUCCAUCGGAUGUUGUUCAUCUUCAGAGCUUGUUGCAUCUCCGUCUCGGAGGUGGGACAGAACUGCCUGAUGUGACUGGUAUACCCAGAAAUGUCACUGUGCCUAGUGUUGCCAAUUUAUUGGAUGAGUCAAGCAGUCCUCCAAAAUCAGUGAUGACAAUCGAGUUGUUGCCACCCAUUUGUAGAAUCCCCGAGUGGAUUGGACAGCUUAACAACCUCUGCAUUCUGAAAGUUGUCGUCGGUGAACUGCUAAGGGAUGAUAUCCAUAUCCUGGGAGGAUUGCCAGCCCUGACUGUUCUCACAUUGCAUGUACAGCGACGAACUACAGAACUAAUUGGCUUCACACCUAGAGCAUUUAAUGCUCUAGAAUAUUUUGAGUUCAGGUGUGGCGUACUGCGCCUGAUGUUUGAGGAAGGAGCAAUGCCCAAUCUUCAGAGGAUUAAGCUAGGUUUCAAUUCUCACAGAGGAGAACAGUACGGUCGUUUGCUUGUGGGCAUUGAGCACCUGUCAAACGUCCAGGAGAUUUCUGGAAUAAUUGGGUCAACCGUCGGUGCAGAGGAAUAUGACUUGCAAGCUGCAGAGUCUGCAUUCAAGGAUGCCACUGGCAAACAUCAUAGUAACGUCAGCAUAAAAAGAUCAGAUAUUGUUGUGGAAGAGUAUGGUCCUCUAGAAAAACAGCAUUUGGUGCGAGGGAAACACCCAUCGACAUCAAGUGAACAUACUGGAAGUCGGAAACAAGAGUCCCAGCAAGCUAUAAAGCAAAACUCCCAUAACAAUUCUCAGUUGAUUAGCAGGAGAAGUGAUGGCAACAAACAAGCAAGUGUGGAGCUACGGAAUGACCCGCGAUCAUCGGUGCAGAAGGUGAUCGUAAUCAAGAUAGUGGACAUUACAGACAAGCGGUGGAAGUCCAGUGCCUUCAAAGUCCUUUCGAAGUUCCAUGGGACCAAUUCGGUAGCGGCAAACGAGGAGGAGGGGACGCUAACUGUGGUGGGGGACCUGGACCCGGUGGUCGUAGUGCUGGCAUUACAGAAGGCCAAACUCAAUGUGCAGAUCGUCAGCAUGGGGUCGCAUAUCUUCUCAAUGGGCGAGGGGUUGAUGGACAAACCCGAGGGACGCAAAAUGCCUGGACGUAACCCGCCCGAGGGACAACAGAAGCCUGAAUCUAACCCAACCCAGCUGCCGCACAGUCUCAUCCCCCCGUACUCCCCUCCCUACCGGCCACCCCCCUACCGUCAACACCGACACGAGGUCCACCAGUCCCGGGAGGACCCCAACUCAUGUGUCAUCCAGUGA
Molecule: ribosomal RNA, 2943 nt
Filed under: Triticum aestivum (bread wheat)
Lineage: Eukaryota; Viridiplantae; Streptophyta; Magnoliopsida; Poales; Poaceae
Description: partial small subunit ribosomal RNA
Source: RNAcentral